UUGAACGCUGGCGGCAGGCCUAACACAUGCAAGUCGAGCGGUAGAGAGAAGCUUGCUUCUCUUGAGAGCGGCGGACGGGUGAGUAAUGCCUAGGAAUCUGCCUGGUAGUGGGGGAUAACGUUCGGAAACGGACGCUAAUACCGCAUACGUCCUACGGGAGAAAGCAGGGGACCUUCGGGCCUUGCGCUAUCAGAUGAGCCUAGGUCGGAUUAGCUAGUUGGUGGGGUAAUGGCUCACCAAGGCGACGAUCCGUAACUGGUCUGAGAGGAUGAUCAGUCACACUGGAACUGAGACACGGUCCAGACUCCUACGGGAGGCAGCAGUGGGGAAUAUUGGACAAUGGGCGAAAGCCUGAUCCAGCCAUGCCGCGUGUGUGAAGAAGGUCUUCGGAUUGUAAAGCACUUUAAGUUGGGAGGAAGGGUUGUAGAUUAAUACUCUGCAAUUUUGACGUUACCGACAGAAUAAGCACCGGCUAACUCUGU
RNAcentral lists this ribosomal RNA (482 nucleotides) under uncultured bacterium. RNAcentral describes it as "bacterial SSU rRNA". It matches the Rfam family "Bacterial small subunit ribosomal RNA", at positions 30 to 506 of the family's 1533-position model. The record is from RNAcentral.